UUCAAUGGCGGGGCAUGGUGGGAGCCUCUUACGAGGCGCCGUUCCUGAUUACGGUACGCCAAUCCUGCCAUGUGCCUGCCACCCCC
Non-coding RNA from Aquitalea magnusonii, 86 nucleotides. The record is from Rfam. NCBI's taxonomy places the organism in Bacteria, Pseudomonadati, Pseudomonadota, Betaproteobacteria, Neisseriales, Chromobacteriaceae.